UCUUUUUGAAAAAUAAUUUAAAGUCUAAUCUGCCCACUGAAAAUUUUUAAAGGGCUGCAGUAUAUUGACUGUACAAAGGUAGCAUAAUCAAUAGUCUUUUAAUUGGAGACUUGUAUGAAUGAUUUGAUGAAAUAUAAACUGUCUCUUUAUUAUGUAUUAGAAUUUAAUUUUUUAGUCAAAAAGCUAAAAUAGAUAUAAAAGACGAGAAGACCCUAUAGAGUUUUAUUUUUAUUUAUAUUUAAAAUAUUUAUAAAAUUUAUAUUUUAAAUAUAAAUAAAAAUUUUGUUGGGGUGAUAGAAAAAUUAAAGAAACUUUUUUUAAAUAUUAAACAUAAAUAAAUGAUUUUUUGAUCCAUAAUUUAUGAUUAUAAGAAUAAAUUACCUUAGGGAUAACAGCGUAAUUUUUUUUUUUAGUUCUUAUAAAAAAAAGAGUUUGCGACCUCGAUGUUGGAUUAAGAUAAAAUUUAAAUGCAAAAGUUUAAAAUUUUGAUCUGUUCGAUCAUUAAAAUCUUACAUGAUCUGAG
RNAcentral lists this ribosomal RNA (523 nucleotides) under Leptosia nina. Its description in RNAcentral is "partial 16S ribosomal RNA". The stretch from base 388 to 523 matches the Rfam family "Bacterial large subunit ribosomal RNA", at positions 2473 to 2609 of the family's 2925-position model. The record is from RNAcentral. Lineage: Eukaryota; Metazoa; Arthropoda; Insecta; Lepidoptera; Pieridae.